RNAcentral lists this ribosomal RNA (571 nucleotides) under Scinax nasicus (lesser snouted treefrog). RNAcentral's name for it is "partial 16S ribosomal RNA". It matches the Rfam family "Bacterial large subunit ribosomal RNA", at positions 1816 to 2596 of the family's 2925-position model. Lineage: Eukaryota; Metazoa; Chordata; Amphibia; Anura; Hylidae. The record is from RNAcentral.
CGCCUCUUGAAUAAAAAUAAGAGGUCCAGCCUGCCCAGUGACAAAUGUUCAACGGCCGCGGUAUCCUAACCGUGCGAAGGUAGCGUAAUCACUUGUUCUUUAAAUGUGGACUAGUAUGAACGGCACCACGAGGGUUAUACUGUCUCCUUUCUCCAAUCAGUGAAACUAAUCUCCCCGUGAAGAAGCGGGGAUACAAAUAUAAGACGAGAAGACCCUAUGGAGCUUAAAAGUUUACUUCAAACGCUAAACCACUGCAAAGUCAUAGACUACCACAAGAAGCCACGCGCCAUGAAAACAACUUUUAGGUUGGGGUGACCAUGGAGCACAAAACAACCUCCACGCUGAACAGGCCUCCAAGCCUCGAGCCAAGGGCCACAACCCGCCGCACUAAAAAAUUAACAUCCAUUGAUCCAAUGAAUUUUGAUCAACGAACCAAGUUACCCUAGGGAUAACAGCGCAAUCUACUUCAAGAGUUCCUAUCGACAAGUGGGUUUACGACCUCGAUGUUGGAUCAGGGUGUCCCAGUGGUGCAGCCGCUACUAAUGGUUCGUUUGUUCAACGAUUAAAACCC